This 468-nucleotide ribosomal RNA is filed under the name uncultured bacterium. RNAcentral's name for it is "partial 16S ribosomal RNA". It matches the Rfam family "Bacterial small subunit ribosomal RNA", at positions 28 to 507 of the family's 1533-position model. The record is from RNAcentral.
GACGAACGCUGGCGGCGUGCUUAACACAUGCAAGUCGAACGGAAAGGCCCUGCUUUUGUGGGGUGCUCGAGUGGCGAACGGGUGAGUAGCACGUGAGUAACCUGCCCUUGACUUUGGGAUAACUUCAGGAAACUGGGGCUAAUACCGGAUAGGAGCUCCUGCUGCAUGGUGGGGGUUGGAAAGUUUCGGCGGUUGGGGAUGGACUCGCGGCUUAUCAGCUUGUUGGUGGGGUAGUGGCUUACCAAGGCUUUGACGGGUAGCCGGCCUGAGAGGGUGACCGGCCACAUUGGGACUGAGAUACGGCCCAGACUCCUACGGGAGGCAGCAGUGGGGAAUAUUGCACAAUGGGCGGAAGCCUGAUGCAGCAACGCCGCGUGCGGGAUGACGGCCUUCGGGUUGUAAACCGCUUUCGCCUGUGACGAAGCGUGAGUGACGGUAAUGGGUAAAGAAGUACCGGCUAACUACGUG